AACAAAAACAUGUCUUUUUGAUAAUAAUUUAAAGUCUAGCCUGCCCAAUGAAUUAUUUGAAUGGCCGCGGUAUUUUGACCGUGCUAAGGUAGCAUAAUAAUUAGUUUUUUAAUUGAAAACUGGUAUGAAUGGUUGAACGAGGAAAAGACUGUCUCAAUUUAAUUUAAUUAGAAUUUUAUUUUUAAGUAAAAAAGCUUAAAUAUAUUUAAAAGACGAGAAGACCCUAUAGAGUUUUAUAUUUUAUUAAAAAUUGAACUAUUAGACUUUUUUUUUUAAUUUUUAUUAAAGUAUUUUAUUGGGGUGAUAAAGAAAUUAAUUAAACUUUUUUUAUAUUUUAUCAUUGAUUUAUGAAUAAGUGAUCCAUUAUUUAUGAUUAAAAGAUUAAAUUACCUUAGGGAUAACAGCGUAAUUUUUUUUGAGAGUUCAUAUCGAAAAAAG
This 438-nucleotide ribosomal RNA is filed under the name Trox opacotuberculatus. RNAcentral describes it as "partial 16S ribosomal RNA". The stretch from base 1 to 155 matches the Rfam family "Archaeal large subunit ribosomal RNA", at positions 1898 to 2099 of the family's 2987-position model. Lineage: Eukaryota; Metazoa; Arthropoda; Insecta; Coleoptera; Trogidae. The record is from RNAcentral.